CUCGUGGUAGCGUUUUUAAAAGAUAAAAGUUUCCGUGUAGGGAACAGUUUUUAAAAGAUUUUCUGUGAUUUUUGUAUCUUAGUAUUUCAAAAUCUGUUUCUGUGGUUGGAAAUAUUUUAACUAAUAGAUGUGAAUCUGUGGUGAAUGCUGUAUGAAUAUAUAUAACAGUUGGUUGUUUGUAUGUUCAUUUGUUGUGGUUGUGCCUGGGUGACUUCUUGUACUUGUGCGACACCGUGCAUAUACAGGGGAGACUCUGUCCGUGUGAACAGUGGAUUCCCUGUAUUUGUGGCGGAUCUGGCAUACUCUGGGGUCAGGUUUUCAAAAAAAAAAAUUCAGACG
RNAcentral lists this long non-coding RNA (339 nucleotides) under Ananas comosus (pineapple). Its description in RNAcentral is "long non-coding RNA (ACOM_LNC039961)". The record is from RNAcentral. Lineage: Eukaryota; Viridiplantae; Streptophyta; Magnoliopsida; Poales; Bromeliaceae.